Long non-coding RNA from Arachis stenosperma, 1124 nucleotides. RefSeq lists it as uncharacterized. The transcript is spliced from 4 exons. NCBI's taxonomy places the organism in Eukaryota, Viridiplantae, Streptophyta, Magnoliopsida, Fabales, Fabaceae. The record is from RefSeq and is a predicted model, not a curated record.
CUAAGUUCCCUAACCCCUCUUCCUUCUAGUCUCCAGCCUCCACAACGCGAAGCAGCAGUCCAGAGUCCAGACUCUAGCCCCAAUUCGUCUCAACCUCAUCGAAGCCGCCGGCGCAUGUCCGUCCAGCCACCGCCGCCGUCCCAACUUCGAGCUUCGAAGGCAACGGCGCAACGUCCGUCCAGCCACCGCCGUUUAAGCUUCGAAAAUCGAAGCCACCGUCGCCGGUCUCGCCUCUUGCCUCCGUCGCGCAGCCACCUCCCGCCGGUGCCAGCUCUGUUCCACACCACCACGUCGGCCACUGUCUUUCCAGCCACCGUCCCCAGCCACUUCCACACCCUCACCAGCUCUGCCCUGUUCCAGCCUUCCAGGAUCCAGCUUCUAGCCUAGCUGUCAUUGGAGCCAUUCACACAACCACUUUGGCCAAGCUCUCUGCUAAAAGGCAAGAAGUUCUUUCUCCAGCAGGCAACAUUGUUGAACAGGAAACUGGAUAAUAUAAAGAUAAAGAGUGCUAUAAGAUGUUUCAAGAUUUUGAGUUAAUAUACCAAUGAAUUAUCAACUCAAUCUGCUAGAGACGCUAGGGCAGCUCUUUGGGCCUAAUACAACUAUCUUUUUGGCUGGCGAGCGUCAAAAUGAUGCCAUUCUUGAAUACUUCCUAGAAGCUGCAGUGAACAAUUUCAGAAUUGGUCGCAUUGAUCAAAAUCUGUGGCAUCCUGAUUAUUGCAGCAACAGAGUUGUUCUUUAUGUUCUUGUGAAGAAAUGAAGGUUUCAGAAUUAAUGAAACUAUGUUACUUUAUAGUUUAGGAAGACUUUCACAUGUUCCAUUUACUUUAUUGGAACAUUGAUAUACCAUGUAUUAAACGGUAAUAGAUAAAGAUUUUGUCGUCUAACACGUGAUACAAUGUCUAAAAUAUCCCUGAAAUAAUGCAUAAAAGACUAAUAUAACACUAAUAAAGUGUCGGCUAAUCGGCUUUGUUGUUAACUUGUUAUAUGAUGAUUGAUGAGAGAUGUUUCAAGGCAAGCCAAGCUUUCCAUGAAUUGCAGCUCAUGGGCUAAUUUUUCUAAGGAUCCGUCAAUUAGUUGGAGUUUUUUGGGGUUGUUUUGUUGUAAUAUAAUUAGGAUUUAUA